This 457-nucleotide ribosomal RNA is filed under the name uncultured bacterium. RNAcentral's name for it is "SSU rRNA". It matches the Rfam family "Bacterial small subunit ribosomal RNA", at positions 26 to 518 of the family's 1533-position model. The record is from RNAcentral.
AGAAUCAACGCUGGCGGCGUGCCUAACACAUGCAAGUCGAACGAGAAAGUGGAGCAAUCCAUGAGUAAAGUGGCGACCGGGUGAGUAACACGUGACUAACCUACCUUCGAGUGGGGGAUAACCUCGGGAAACCGAGGCUAAUACCGCAUAACAUCGCAAGAUCAAAGCAGCAAUGCGCUGGAAGAGGGGGUCGCGGCUGAUUAGCUAGUUGGCGGGUAACGCCCACCAAGGCGAAGAUCGGUAGCCGGCCUGAGAGGGCGCACGGCCACACUGGAACUGAAACACGGUCCAGACUCCUACGGGAGGCAGCAGUGGGGAAUUUUGCGCAAUGGGGGAAACCCUGACGCAGCAACGCCGCGUGGAGGAUGAAGCCCCUUGGGGCGUAAACUCCUUUCGACCAAGACGAUAAUGACGGUACUGGUGGAGAAGCACCGGCUAACUCUGCGCCAGCAGCCGC